GUAGGGAAUAUUGGACAAUGGGGGCAACCCUGAUCCAGCGACGCCGCGUGAGUGAUGAAGGCCUUCGGGUCGUAAAGCUCUGUUGCAGGGGAAGAACACAAUGACGGUACCCUGCUAGAAAGGAUCGGCUAACUUCGUGCCAGCAGCCGCGGUAAGACGAGGGAUCCUAGCGUUGUUCGGAAUUAUUGGGCGUAAAGCGGGUGCAGGUGGCUUGGUAAGUCAGAUGUGAAAGCCUGGGGCUUAACCCCAGAAGUGCAUUUGAUACUGCUGAGCUUGAGUGCUGGAGAGGCUAGUAGAAUUCCUGGUGUAGUGGUGAAAUACGUAGAUAUCAGGAGGAAUACCGGAGGCGAAGGCGGAUAGCUGGCCAGACACUGACACUCAGACCCGAAAGCGUGGGGAUCAAACAGGAUUAGAAACCCCGGUAGUCC
RNAcentral lists this ribosomal RNA (428 nucleotides) under uncultured bacterium. RNAcentral describes it as "partial 16S ribosomal RNA". It matches the Rfam family "Bacterial small subunit ribosomal RNA", at positions 354 to 796 of the family's 1533-position model. The record is from RNAcentral.